ACCUGCAUGGUGUAGUGGUUUGAGCGUUGGACUACGACUCUGGGAGACCAGGGUUCGAAUCCCUGCUUGAGCA
This 73-nucleotide transfer RNA is filed under the name Phrynosoma platyrhinos (Desert horned lizard). Its description in RNAcentral is "tRNA-OTHER". Lineage: Eukaryota; Metazoa; Chordata; Lepidosauria; Squamata; Phrynosomatidae. The record is from RNAcentral.